CUGCCACAGCCAUAUCACCCUGCAGCCCAAGAUUGGUUACUCACUGAAGCUAAGCAGGGCUGAGCCUGGUCAGUACCUGGAUGGGAGACCACAUGGGAAAACUAGGUUGCUUGGUAGU
RNAcentral lists this ribosomal RNA (118 nucleotides) under Danio rerio (zebrafish). The record is from RNAcentral. Lineage: Eukaryota; Metazoa; Chordata; Actinopteri; Cypriniformes; Danionidae.